UACGUAGGCAGCGAGCGUUGUUCGGAGUUACUGGGCGUAAAGAGUAUGUAGGCGGUUCUGUAAGUUUGGUGUGAAAUCUCCCGGCUCAACUGGGAGGGUGCGCCGAAAACUGCAGGGCUAGAGUGUGGGAGAGGAAAGCGGAAUUCCUGGUGUAGCGGUGAAAUGCGUAGAUAUCAGGAGGAACACCGGCGGUGUAGACGGCUUUCUGGACCAUUACUGACGCUGAGAUACGAAAGCGUGGGGAGCAAACAGG
Molecule: ribosomal RNA, 253 nt
Filed under: uncultured bacterium
Lineage: Bacteria
Description: partial 16S ribosomal RNA
Rfam family: Bacterial small subunit ribosomal RNA
Source: RNAcentral